UAGAAAAAUGAGAUUUGUCAAACAGAAGCUUCCUUCCGCCUGCCACUGACAUGCCACCGACGAUGUGUGAAUAUUACGUGAGCAGCUACAACCUUCUUUUAUGGAUGAGACGAUGAGCAGCUACAAACUUGAUACUGUUAAUGGUAGUCUCAUUCUUCCAAAAAAAAUAGGAAAACAAACUCAUACAUUUCAACACAGCUCCUUCUUCACAUAAACUUCCAGUUUAAAUGAAAAUACUAUUAUUUUCGAUGAAGGGAGCUUUAUUACUUAAAAGGUUUAAGCAUUAUACCCGGCCCCUCUGCAUAAAUGAAAAUACUAAUAGCAACAAAAAAAACUUAAUAAGAAAACUCCGACAAUGUGGACCGAGAUUGACUUGGUAGUAGAUCAAAUCACACGCGUUCAAUCUUUGCUCAAUGAGAACUGAGGAACAACUUUGUAAAAAAAACUACCCUACUCCAUACUGAUCAUUGCAUGACAUCAAUAUUUCUCUUACAGAACUAAACUUAGACAGCCAUGUAAGCUCUAAACAUUGUUCUUGAUUAAACGGACAAAACAUAAAGGAAUUAGAAGUCUCACCAUCAGUAUAUAAUGUUUCCACGCAAUAUUUUUGUCCGAACAACCACAAUCAAUAUCCAUUACAUCCACACUCGCCUCAAGAGGGAGAGUAGACCCGCCUGCAAAAUAGAGACUAUAGAACAUUCACAUGAAGUGCUAAAAAAUGUAAUACCAAAAUUUAAUCUAAUGAGGAAGCAGAGCCCGUCGCCGCAUCCAUGGAUGGCCACCAGAGGAGUCUCCAACGCCGUGCGACGUCGACNNN
This 817-nucleotide long non-coding RNA is filed under the name Triticum aestivum (bread wheat). RNAcentral's name for it is "long non-coding RNA (TAES_LNC011185)". The record is from RNAcentral. Lineage: Eukaryota; Viridiplantae; Streptophyta; Magnoliopsida; Poales; Poaceae.